This 473-nucleotide ribosomal RNA is filed under the name Cytobacillus oceanisediminis. RNAcentral describes it as "bacterial SSU rRNA". It matches the Rfam family "Bacterial small subunit ribosomal RNA", at positions 395 to 859 of the family's 1533-position model. The record is from RNAcentral. Lineage: Bacteria; Bacillati; Bacillota; Bacilli; Caryophanales; Bacillaceae.
CGCCGCGUGAGUGAUGAAGGUUUUCGGAUCGUAAAACUCUGUUGUCAGGGAAGAACAAGUGCCGGAGUAACUGCCGGCACCUUGACGGUACCUGGCCAGAAAGCCACGGCUAACUACGUGCCAGCAGCCGCGGUAAUACGUAGGUGGCAAGCGUUGUCCGGAAUUAUUGGGCGUAAAGCGCGCGCAGGCGGUUCCUUAAGUCUGAUGUGAAAGCCCACGGCUCAACCGUGGAGGGUCAUUGGAAACUGGGGAACUUGAGUGCAGAAGAGGAGAGUGGAAUUCCACGUGUAGCGGUGAAAUGCGUAGAGAUGUGGAGGAACACCAGUGGCGAAGGCGACUCUCUGGUCUGUAACUGACGCUGAGGCGCGAAAGCGUGGGGAGCAAACAGGAUUAGAUACCCUGGUAGUCCACGCCGUAAACGAUGAGUGCUAAGUGUUAGAGGGUUUCCGCCCUUUAGUGCUGCAGCAAACGCA